GAGGCUUUAGCUUAAUAAAAGUGUUUGAGUUGCAAUCAAAAGAUGUAAAUUAAAGUUUUGUAAGUGUU
This 68-nucleotide transfer RNA is filed under the name Anolis occultus. RNAcentral describes it as "tRNA-Ala". It matches the Rfam family "tRNA". Rfam says of the family: Transfer RNA (tRNA) molecules are approximately 80 nucleotides in length. Their secondary structure includes four short double-helical elements and three loops (D, anti-codon, and T loops). The record is from RNAcentral. Lineage: Eukaryota; Metazoa; Chordata; Lepidosauria; Squamata; Anolidae.